This 1241-nucleotide unclassified non-coding RNA is filed under the name Hevea brasiliensis (rubber tree). Lineage: Eukaryota; Viridiplantae; Streptophyta; Magnoliopsida; Malpighiales; Euphorbiaceae. The record is from RNAcentral.
AAAAAAAAAAAAAAAAAAAACUACUCUCUAUUUUUGAAGUUCGUGGUUUUGAGAAAAGACCUGUUCUCUUACACAACAGCUUCUAUUUGUGGAAGUCUUCUGCAAUAUGCUGUGCAUAUGGUUCCCCUGUUGUUUUUCCCCUGAUUUGAGCUUAAUUAUUCUCCUGUAUAGUCUUCCCUCUCUCAAAUGACAAUAGAGCGGCAGAUGAUAGAGCUGUUGUGAAAGUGAGUGGGGUUUGGUUAAGAGGAAGCAGGAAGAGAUAGAGAGAGAUUUAGAUCGAGUGAAGAAGAAGAAGAAGCUUCCUCCUCAUUAUUUAUUCUUCUUCUCUUCGAUUUGUCUUCCAAUAUUUGAAGAAGUGAUUGGCAUUCCUCGUCAUCUUGAUGCUUUUCAUUUCUGCUUCUCCUUUUAUCUCUACUAUAUAUAGGAUGGACCCCACACUCCAUAAUUUCCUGCAGAUCCUCGUAACAGUCAGCGUUGAAGCAAAAUGAGGCCUUAACGAAACACUCUUCAUCAAAACGUGUCCUCAAUCCAUUGAAUGAAAGCAACACGUGUGAUGAGUCCGAAAGAUACGGAACUUCAAAAUAACCAUUCCAAUUCGCAACGUCCUUAUCGCUAAAUAAGGAAAAUCUAGAUUCACAUAUGAAAUCCGAAUCAUACGGACCUCCAUAACGACUCCAAUUCGCAAAGUCCUUAUAGCUAGAUAAGUUGAACGCAUUACGUUCCCGCCUAUUUCCAGAUUCACAUAUGAAAUCCACUUUAAAUCUACGAAAACGAAUAAAAACGCCUAUUAAACGACUUCUGGGACGAAGAACAACGCAGAAAGAGAAGGCAAUUAAGUGACGAAGGUCAAUUUUGAAUGAAAGCGAGGAUCCAAUUUUAUUUUUACAUCUCAUCCAUUCUGGCACUUCACCUCCUGCCAUCAAUAAUGUAACUUUCUGACCCAACAGGUGCGCUUCAAAAACAUCCUCCAUUACUUUCUUAUUCAAUUUGACGCAACUACUAAAAUUAAGAAAUUUGCAAUCUUCAGAUUCACUUUUAUGUGCUUCUUCAUUUUCAUGUUCACUUUUAUCUGCUUCUUCAUUUUCAUCUUCAUGUUCUAAGAAAUGGAAAGAAAUUGAUGCAGAUUCCAAAGAGGGGCAAUUACUUGCAUCUAAGUAUUCUAAGCAUGAUGGAAGCUCUGGUAAACUUUUAAGACUCUCGCAACGGGCUAAAUCAAACUCUUUCAACUUCGAAAGUUGUUU